UACUAAAAAGUUUUGCAUCUUUAGUAAAGCUACAUCAUCUUUUGAUUUCCCGUGGAUGCAAGUAUAUCUAGGGAGUGUGCGACCUAGAUUUCUACCGUACUUCCUCUUCUCUCUCAUUUUUCUCAUCAGAUCUCCCGUGACCUACAUAUUUGCAUGAACUCGGAUGUCUGGACGGCGGGGGCCGUUUGUUCUCUGUGUUCUCUCAAAUUUGUAGAACGGCGUCACUAUUCCCAAAAUUUCAGGUGUCCGAUUUCUGAUCAAAUGCAAGAACACGGCUGGACGAUUUUGCGAAUGCUGUGAGGAUGUAUGAUUGCUUUGAUCCCUGGGUUUAUACUUUUGUUUGCUCGAAACUUUUUUGCCUACCCUUCUCAGGUGGAAAUCAGACUGGAUCUUCAACUCUUAUUCAGAUCAUCGUGGGACAACUAUACAGCAGAACAGUGAUGGCUAUUGGUUAUGGAAACUAAAGGAGAUUAUCGUUGAUAGACUGACAUGAUGGUCACUUCCACUUUCAAGUUUCAUACUUACAGUAUUUGAUAUGAAAUUUACUCUUUUUCCUUCCACACUCAUUGCAGUUAAAAAUUCAAGGUUAUUGAGUGAGGAAAACUCAAUUUCUAUACUCUUGGCACACGUUCUUCUCGCUUUUGCAGUCCAAAAAACUAAGUAAUAAGGUCUGAAUCUUGCUUAGAACUCCAUUUACAUUUCCUUAAUGAACUUAAAGAUCAAUCUGCACAAAAAAAAAAAAAAAAAGUUCGAGGCAGGAUAGGCACUGCAAUUAACUAUAUCUUUGC
This is a long non-coding RNA of Tripterygium wilfordii, 788 nucleotides long. RefSeq lists it as uncharacterized. The transcript is spliced from 3 exons. The record is from RefSeq and is a predicted model, not a curated record. Lineage: Eukaryota; Viridiplantae; Streptophyta; Magnoliopsida; Celastrales; Celastraceae.